RNAcentral lists this ribosomal RNA (313 nucleotides) under Disciotis venosa. Its description in RNAcentral is "mitochondrial SSU rRNA". It matches the Rfam family "Bacterial small subunit ribosomal RNA", at positions 434 to 745 of the family's 1533-position model. Lineage: Eukaryota; Fungi; Ascomycota; Pezizomycetes; Pezizales; Morchellaceae. The record is from RNAcentral.
AUUUGAAGGAAUGAAUAUCAACAUUUUAUUAUUUUUUGAAUAAAGUUCUGGCUAGGAUAAUGAUAAUGACAAUUUCCUAUCUAAAUGUCUUGACUAAGUCACGUGCCAGCAGUCGCGGUAAUACGUGAGAGACGAGCGUUAUUCAUCUUUAAUUGGUUUAAAGGGUACCUAGACGGNAAUUCUUGCCUUAUAAUGGGAACAGAAUUACUAGAGUUUUAUGUGAAAAGCUUAGAAUUGGUGGUGUAGAGAUAAUAUACAAAAAUACCAUUAGGACUGGUAAAGGCGAAGGCAAACUUUUAUGUAAAAACUGACG